This 1318-nucleotide long non-coding RNA is filed under the name Mus spicilegus (steppe mouse). Its description in RNAcentral is "lncRNA (ENSMSIG00000025132.1)". The record is from RNAcentral. Lineage: Eukaryota; Metazoa; Chordata; Mammalia; Rodentia; Muridae.
GUGUGCCCUUGGCAUAUGCUGGAGAGCGAUGGAAUCCACAGGUCGGGCUCUCAGAAAACAGAGAUUUCACGGACAGGGCUGUGCAGAGUGGCUGGUACCAUAUGGUACCACGUGGGGGCACUGAUACCUCACAGGACCGGAAAUGUGCUGUAGAGCACUUUUCAUUUUACUGUGAGAGCCAGCCACUCCUCCUGCGGCCAUCCCAAUCCUCUGUGAACCCUCCCUCGCCCGUGCCAGAUUCUUCUUCAGAAUCCUCAGUAGCCCUCUUGGUUUCCAUGACUACUGGAGCUUUUCCUUGAGUAAAACAAGUAAACCGGACCCUUUCCAAAGUGAUAUCUGAAGUUCCAGGAGACAAGCAUGGAGAAAGAAGGCCCCUAGAAUGGACGCCCUCUCUCCUCCCUCUCCAGGUCUUCCUUCUGUAAGAACCUAUAUCAACUCCACUUCCAGUGUAUCUACUGCUACAGCAUCAUGUUCUUUCAUUGGUGGGCUGGUGUCCCACGUGUUCUGGCUGGGAAGAUUCAGUUUGUGGCCAACUCUACUCAUGCUUUUUGCCAUCUCUUCACCAAGUACCCCUUUCCAAUGGACUCCAAAGCAACCAUCGUUUCUUCAUGUAUUUUGGCCUCAGCAUCCUUUUCUUUGGCUUCCACCAGCAGACAUCCCCAAGGGACCCUGGAAGAUGCCGAGAUAAAAAGUGGAACCAGGGACUGAUACUAACAGAGCUGUACUCCUGGAGACCCUGGCAGAGGACAGCAUAGCUCUUAGCAGAUUCCUGGAACUGCAGUUGGUUGGAUGAACAAUGUCCUCCCUUAUAGACUUGAGGAGGGAUGAAAUGGAUUAUGACUUCAUACCUACUUCUCACAUGGAUUUGUAACUAUUUGCUAACCUCCUGCUUCUACUAGACAUAGUCUUAUAAUGGAAGGGACUGUCACCUACUUCAUUUCAACAAAUGUGUCUCUAGGGCUCAGAUUCUGCAACUGGUGGUCAUGACCACCGGUAAAGGACAGGCCUGGGUGCGAAUGAAAUCAAGGAUGGCUGGCAAUCUGACUUGGAGUGGGAAAUUACUUGGUUUCUGAAGUAGUGCUGAACAGUUACCCCUUCCCCAACCCGCCCCCCCCCAUAGCUCCUGGCUUGCCACCCUCUAUAUGUGUAUCUCUGCAGUUGUAUGGUUCCAUGGUCUGUUAUUGGGGUGAGAGAAAUGGCUAUGUGCACGGAUGAGAACUGUUUUCUGUCAACGUGUGGGUCUCUCUGCUUUGUUCACUUGUCUCUUCCGUAAAUAUUCACAAAUAAAAUGAUCCAAGAUCAAUGGCUCUCCGGUCUC